AGAAGCACCGGCUAACUCCGUGCCAGCAGCCGCGGUAAUACGGAGGGUGCAAGCGUUAAUCGGAAUUACUGGGCGUAAAGCGCGCGUAGGUGGCUUGAUAAGCCGGUUGUGAAAGCCCCGGGCUCAACCUGGGAACGGCAUCCGGAACUGUCAGGCUAGAGUACAGGAGAGGAAGGUAAAAGGGAAAAGGGGGGAAGGCA
RNAcentral lists this ribosomal RNA (200 nucleotides) under uncultured Halomonas sp. Its description in RNAcentral is "partial 16S ribosomal RNA". It matches the Rfam family "Bacterial small subunit ribosomal RNA", at positions 486 to 685 of the family's 1533-position model. The record is from RNAcentral. Lineage: Bacteria; Pseudomonadati; Pseudomonadota; Gammaproteobacteria; Oceanospirillales; Halomonadaceae.